GACGAACGCUGGCGGCGUGCUUAACACAUGCAAGUCGAACGGAAAGGCCCUGCUUUUGUGGGGUGCCCGAGUGGCGAACGGGUGAGUAACACGUGAGUAACCUGCCCUUGACUUUGGGAUAACUUCAGGAAACUGGGGCUAAUACCGGAUAGGAGCUCCUGCUGCAUGGUGGGGGUUGGAAAGUUUCGGCGGUUGGGGAUGGACUCGCGGCUUAUCAGCUUGUUGGUGGGGUAGUGGCUUACCAAGGCUUUGACGGGUAGCCGGCCUGAGAGGGUGACCGGCCACAUUGGGACUGAGAGACGGCCCAGACUCCUACGGGAGGCAGCAGUGGGGAAUAUUGCACAAUGGGCGGAAGCCUGAUGCAGCAACGCCGCGUGCGGGAUGACGGCCUUCGGGUUGUAAACCGCUUUCGCCUGUGACGAAGCGUGAGUGACGGUAAUGGGUAAAGAAGCACCGGCUAACUACGUG
Molecule: ribosomal RNA, 468 nt
Filed under: uncultured bacterium
Lineage: Bacteria
Description: partial 16S ribosomal RNA
Rfam family: Bacterial small subunit ribosomal RNA
Source: RNAcentral